UUAUUUUAAAAAAAUAUAUCAAGUCAAUCCCUUACUUCUCUCUAAAAGCACAAAGUUUCAAAAAGUUCAAUGAACAGAAGAUUGGUGGGGGCGGAAUAGAUCUGGACAAGAAGAAGAAGUCUGGAGAUAAAUGUGAUUAGGGAGGGAC
Long non-coding RNA from Chelonia mydas (Green sea turtle), 148 nucleotides. RefSeq lists it as uncharacterized. The record is from RefSeq and is a predicted model, not a curated record. Lineage: Eukaryota; Metazoa; Chordata; Testudines; Cheloniidae. The transcript is spliced from 3 exons.